Molecule: long non-coding RNA, 416 nt
Filed under: Homo sapiens (human)
Lineage: Eukaryota; Metazoa; Chordata; Mammalia; Primates; Hominidae
Description: HSALNT0141043
Source: RNAcentral
CUGCUUCUGCUCCAGCCACACUCUUCAGGACUGUCAGGGUCUGGGCUGAAGGUGGCUGAGAAGCGGGGACCUACACUCUGAAGCUGGAUGGCCCAGCCCCUCCCCAGCACAAAAACAUUGUGUGAUCCUGUCUGUUGAGAUGCUUUUCUCUGGGCCAGAUUCUCCACAUAAGCAAUGCAGGAUUAGGAUAUGAUGCUUGUUUGCUUGGAGAUCCAGGUGGUAUUUGGAAGUGGCUUGCACAAUCACAUCCCUAUGGGAACUUACCUCCCAUGUGCUUUUGGGAAAGUUUCCCACUCAACUCCAUCCACCCUGAAUAUAAAAUAGAGGUCACAGUGGUUGAUUCACCAGCAUUUUCUAACCAAAGUUUCUUUACGCUGUUUUUAUAUUACCCACAAUCCUAUUACGGCAAUCACACU